CUUAGAAAGAUGGCUCUGCUAUCACUUAUCGAUGGGCCUUGCGGUGCAUUAACUAGUUGGCGAGGGUAAACGGGCUCACCAAGGUGAUGAUGCAUAGCCGACCUGAGAGGGUAAUCGGCCACAUUGGGACUGAGACACGGCCCAAACUCCUACGGGAGGCAGCAGUAGGGAAUCUUCCGCAAUGGACGCAAGUCUGACGGAGCAACGCCGCGUGAGUGAAGAAGGUUUUCGGAUCGUAAAACUCUGUUGUAAGAGAAGAACAAAUUGUAGAGUAACUGCUACAGUCUUGACGGUAUCUUACCAAGAAAGCCACGGCUAACUACGUGCCAGCAGCCGCGGUAAAU
RNAcentral lists this ribosomal RNA (344 nucleotides) under uncultured Aerococcus sp. Its description in RNAcentral is "bacterial SSU rRNA". It matches the Rfam family "Bacterial small subunit ribosomal RNA", at positions 198 to 525 of the family's 1533-position model. Lineage: Bacteria; Bacillati; Bacillota; Bacilli; Lactobacillales; Aerococcaceae. The record is from RNAcentral.